AUUGAACGCUGGCGGCAGGCCUAACACAUGCAAGUCGAGCGGAUGAAGGGAGCUUGCUCCUGGCUUCAGCGGCGGACGGGUGAGUAAUGCCUAGGAAUCUGCCUGGUCGUGGGGGAUAACGUCCGGACACGGGCGCUAAUACCGCAUACGUCCUGAGGGUGAAAGUGGGGGUUCUUCGGACCUCACGCUAUCUGAUGAGCCUAGGUCGGAUUAGCUAGCUGGUGGGGUAAAGGCCUACCAAGGCGACGAUCCGUAACUGGUCUGAGAGGAUGAUCAGUCACACUGGAACUGAGACACGGUCCAGACUCCUACGGGAGGCAGCAGUGGGGAAUAUUGGACAAUGGGCGAAAGCCUGAUCCAGCCAUGCCGCGUGUGUGAAGAAGGUCUUCGGAUUGUAAAGCACUUUAAGUUGGGAGGAAGGGCAGUAAGUUAAUACCUUGCUGUUUUGACGUUACCAACAGAAUAAGCACCGGCUAACUUCGUG
This 484-nucleotide ribosomal RNA is filed under the name uncultured bacterium. RNAcentral describes it as "partial 16S ribosomal RNA". It matches the Rfam family "Bacterial small subunit ribosomal RNA", at positions 30 to 507 of the family's 1533-position model. The record is from RNAcentral.